Molecule: RNA transcript, 1495 nt
Organism: Mandrillus leucophaeus (drill)
Lineage: Eukaryota; Metazoa; Chordata; Mammalia; Primates; Cercopithecidae
Exons: 2
Source: RefSeq, a predicted model, not a curated record
UGAAACCAGUCCUCCCCACCCCCUGGGGAUCUUCACUUUCCCAGUCUACAUCUGCCUGUGACUCCAGAAAGACAAACUGCAGAUUUGCCAAGCUGCCUGAAGACCCAGCACGACAGCGAUGCCUGCCAGCCUGCGUCGCCCACCAGGGCAGCUGCUCUCCCUACUCGCACCCCCCGCCUCGGUGCCCUAGAGCUGAGCGCAGCCGCGGCUCCACGGGGAUCGCCAGGGCCUCAGCCCUCGCGGCCGGUGGCGCGGGAGUGUUGCGGGUCAGGGACCAGAGGGCUACCAGAGCAGCCACCCCCGAUUUAGGUCGCCAACUUUCCAGCCACUGCGACGGCCACUGGGGCGCCCCUUCCAUCCUGGUUAAAUUCUCAUUGUGAUCCCCAGCCCCCGCCUCGGUUCCCGACAUCCAGGGGGCUGGUUCUCCGCGGUUCAGGCUGGGAGAGGUCAGCGCUCCGGGCAGGGCGGACCCCCAGCUCCAUCUCGGAGGACCUUUCGACCGAGGAGAGCAGGAAGGGGUUAACCAUGAGCCUCCCACCCUCAUCUCCCAGCCCCUGGUGCCGGGCGAAGGCCGCCGCUUCCCUCCCGAGGUCUCAUUAGGGUAACCCUCACCGCUAUUUUCAACAUUUCCUCAAUCAAGUGCCUUUAAAUAGAGCUGCACAAACAGAUUGGCGGCAAAAGCGUAGAUCUUGUCACGAUUGAGACCAAUCCAAUAUUUCAGCUUUGUUUGCUUUGCAAUUACGGGUUGGCUUGUGGCUGCGGUGCCACUGGGGCAAAUCUGCAACCGCUGGCUUUCUCCUCUGCACUCGGGGCUGGUGGAGGAAGCGACCCGCGGAGUUACUGCAGGGAGGAGAGGGGGACGCGCGCGGGGGGAAGCGGCGGAGGGCGGAGGAGCCUCGCUUGCACCCCAGGGCCGCGGGCACGCAGAGCUGUGUUGAAGGACACAUUUUUCAGUUCCUGACAGUCACUGAGCUAUACGCAAUAAUAAAGCGCGUGAUUUGCGUGUGGAAACCAGUGUCGUGUCCUCACCAGCUUCCUUUUCUGCCCACCUUCUCUGUCUCUUCUACCUCCGUUUCGCUUUUCUUCAGUGUAUGCUAGUGGUUUGGUGGAUUUGUCUUCUCCCUCGCUGUUCAACUGCUAGCAUGAUUUGUUACAUUUUCCACAGCUGUUUAUUCUUGUUUGACUUUUUGCACAAAGUCACUUUAAAUCUGCUGCAGAAAGAAUAAAGCUCCUAACCCUUUGGAUGGGCUCCUGCAGGCAUAUGGCUGUCCCCGGCCCACUUUUAAUUCUUUGGAGAUGGCUCUUCUGUGUAAAUUAGCUGCUGGAUGCGUUCGGUCACUUCGUAGGCCAGCCUAGUUUGUAUCAGCAGAACAGUAGUGAACUCAAAUCAGGUCGUAAGCCUUAUAUUUCACAGACAAUUAAAUCUUGGCUGCUGUUGAACAAAACUGUAAUAUUUACUCUGCUCUAUACCAAGGAGCACUUUUAAAGUAAAAAA